Molecule: long non-coding RNA, 1170 nt
Organism: Zingiber officinale
Lineage: Eukaryota; Viridiplantae; Streptophyta; Magnoliopsida; Zingiberales; Zingiberaceae
Exons: 3
Source: RefSeq, a predicted model, not a curated record
CUAGCUUUCCCUCGCCGAUCUCCCCUUCCCGAGCCCUCAUCCUUGCGACACCGCCGAACCUCUCCUCUUCCUCCCGAUCCCUCACAUCUCGACGCCGCCCCGCCUCCAUCGCCGGCUCUCCUCCUCACGCGCAAGCACCAAGAUGCCGCCCCUUCCUGAUCUUCGCGACGCUGAGUUCUCCACCUGAUCCACUGCCGCUGGCUGACCAUUGGCGCUACCCUCUCCUCUUUGCACCGCUGUUGACCACCACCGCCCCACAACCAGUCGCCGUUGCUAGAUGCCGACGACCACCCUCUCCCUCUCGCGAGUUUUCUUCCUCACUGAGCCGAGGUUGGAUGGUGCAAUGGGUUGGUCUCUUCCCGAUGUCUCUCGACGAUCUCUUGCUCUUUGUCAAUGGCUUCGUUGACAUCCCAAUUCUCACCAAUAGCUACUAGUUCUUGGGUCUCCCUGCCGUUUGGGACGUUGGCACUAACAAGAACGCUGCCCAUUGGGGUCGCUUCUUCCAAGAUGUGUUUAAGAGGAUAAGUGGCUCCAGUCAUUAUGAAGAAUCGCUAAACAAACUUGACAAAGCUUUGAGGGAUAUUGAAUCCAAUCCAUCUUUCCCACAGGCAAUCAUGGAGAUGUGAUGAUUGCUAGUUAUGGUAGCAUUCAAGUAUUGUUAGCAGAAGACCCACAGCUCCGAUCACACUCUUCUAUUAGUGAAACUUUUCCGGCUAUGAUCUACUGAUGAUCACCUUAGACUUGGAUAAGUUUUGGAGGACGCUGAUUCGAGAUGAGCAUAUUGAUGCAGGGCUUUUGAUUCGAUCUUCUUGCUAAGUUUUUUCUUUCGCCAGGUAGCAAGUAAAUGAAUUAUGGAUGCUUGGAGAGUCCCGGCUGCCAGUCCCACGUCACACUCGAGGACAGUUACUUUUCGAUUUUAUUUCUAUUUGAUAGUAUAGUGAUUUUGCACAUCUUGUUUUUUCAAUAAGUCGAUGUGGAUUUUGGAGUCUAGUGUGGUGGUCGCAAGCAUUUUUGGUUAGUGACUUUGUUGGUCUUACGUUCGUAUUAUUUUGUGUUUUCCGCUGCGUUUACUUACAACCAUGUGGGAUGUUAUUAUACCGCGUGGUUGUGUGUUUAUUUUGUUCCAGCCGAGUGGACGGAUGAUAUAAACUACGUGUUAUGUUGUUUCUA